UAUGAAUAUCCAUAUAUACAAAGCAAUGCUAGACGCAAAGGUUAAAUGUUGACCUUGGUGAAAUAGUUCUCCUAUAGCCUUGCUUAAGUCCAUUCGGGUUUUGUUUGCAACAGUUGCAUACCGUGACUAUAGGUUAAGAAAAGUCUCUUGGAGCUGAAAUCUUAGAUUUGAUGAAAAGUCAAAGUGUUUGAUUUUAUCAAAUUUGAAAAUGAAUUGUGUGUUUACAAGAAGAUAGUGGGAGCAUUUUUCAUAUUCCUAAAACGACAUCCCUAUAUUUCAAUCGUUGAAAUAAUGGUUGUUAAAAGAUUUAUUCAUAAAUGAUAUGGGAUAAGCAACUUGAUCUAUAGAGGUAGAUCUAGAAGAUUGCUUAACUUAUCCCAAUUUACAUAGAUGAAAUCUUGAGAAGAUUUCAUAUGGAGAAACUGGUUUACUCUUAAGCGGUAUGUUGGAAAGGUUCCAAACGUGAAGCAGCCGUUGAUUCAAUAGUAGAAACCUAAUACAUGAAUACUUCAGAAGUAGCAAAGAGUUGCAAUAUGGAUCAUGAUGUUCAUAAAUGAACUUGGAGUAGUUCCUGAUAUUGUUGAUCACAUACAAUAGUAUUAUGAUAACAAUAGAGCCAUUGCGAAAGCAAAGGAACUAAGGUCUCAUCAAUGAUCCAAACAUGUAUUAAAACGGUAUAAUCUCAUCAGAGAGAUAAUACAUGGAAAUGACGUAGAGAGAAGAGCAAAUUUCCACAUUUAAUAAAAUUGCAGAUCCACUGACAAAGAGUUGUCGUAGUAUAAACAUGAUCGUCAUGUAGACUUAUGAUAUUUGAUACAUAAGUGAUUGGAUCUAGUGCAAGUGGGAGUUUGUAAGUAUUAUGCCCUAGGUCCAAUCAACUUUGGACAUAAAUACUUUUAUAUAUAAUUAAUGCAAUUAAAU
This 921-nucleotide long non-coding RNA is filed under the name Olea europaea (common olive). Its description in RNAcentral is "long non-coding RNA (OEUR_LNC002759)". Lineage: Eukaryota; Viridiplantae; Streptophyta; Magnoliopsida; Lamiales; Oleaceae. The record is from RNAcentral.